CCUACGGGUGGCAGCAGUGGGGAAUAUUGCACAAUGGGGGAAACCCUGAUGCAGCGACGCCGCGUGAAGGAAGAAGUAUUUCGGUAUGUACACUUCUAUCAGCAGGGAAGAAAAUGACGGUACCUGACUAAGAAGCCCCGGCUAACUACGUGCCAGCAGCCGCGGUAAUACGUAGGGGGCCAGCGUUAUCCGGAUUUACUGGGGGUAAAGGGAGCGUAGGCGGUGAUGCAAAUCAGAAGUGAAAGCUCGGAGCGCAACUGCGGGACUGCUUUGGAAACUGUAGGACUAGAUGUCAGGAGAGGUAAGUGGAAUUCCUAGUGUAGCGGUGAAAUGCGUAGAUAUUAGGAGGAACACCAGUGGCGAAGGCGGCUUACUGGACUGUAAAUGACGCUGAGGAUCGAAAGCGUGGGGAGCAAACGGGAUUAGAUACCCGAGUAGUC
RNAcentral lists this ribosomal RNA (440 nucleotides) under uncultured bacterium. Its description in RNAcentral is "partial 16S ribosomal RNA". It matches the Rfam family "Bacterial small subunit ribosomal RNA", at positions 338 to 795 of the family's 1533-position model. The record is from RNAcentral.